UGGGGAAUCUUGGACAAUGGGGGCAACCCUGAUCCAGCCAUGCCGCGUGAGUGAUGAAGGCCUUAGGGUCGUAAAGCUCUUUCGCCUGUGAAGAUAAUGACGGUAGCAGGUAAAGAAACCCCGGCUAACUCCGUGCCAGCAGCCGCGGUAAUACGGAGGGGGUUAGCGUUGUUCGGAAUUACUGGGCGUAAAGCGCACGUAGGCGGACCAGAAAGUUGGGGGUGAAAUCCCGGGGGCUCAACCCCGGAACUGCCUCCAAAACUAUUGGUCUAGAGUUCGAGAGAGGUGAGUGGAAUUCCAAGUGUAGAGGUGAAAUUCGUAGAUAUUUGGAGGAACACCAGUGGCGAAGGCGGCUCACUGGCUCGAUACUGACGCUGAGGUGCGAAAAGUGUGGGGGAGCAAAACAGGAUUAGAUACCCUGGUAGUCCACACCGUAAAACGAUGAAUGCCAGUCGUCGGGGUAGCAUGCUAUUCGGUGACACACCUAACGGAUUAAGCAUUCCGGCCUGGGGGAGUACGGUCGCAAGAUUAAAACUCAAAUGAAUUG
RNAcentral lists this ribosomal RNA (547 nucleotides) under uncultured bacterium. RNAcentral's name for it is "bacterial SSU rRNA". It matches the Rfam family "Bacterial small subunit ribosomal RNA", at positions 355 to 912 of the family's 1533-position model. The record is from RNAcentral.